RNAcentral lists this transfer-messenger RNA (379 nucleotides) under Mycoplasmopsis cynos. It matches the Rfam family "transfer-messenger RNA". Rfam says of the family: Bacterial tmRNA, also known as 10Sa RNA or SsrA, is named for its dual tRNA and mRNA-like properties. Its role is to liberate the mRNA from a stalled ribosome. To accomplish this part of the tmRNA is used as a reading frame that ends in a translation stop signal. The record is from RNAcentral. Lineage: Bacteria; Bacillati; Mycoplasmatota; Mycoplasmoidales; Metamycoplasmataceae.
GGGGAUAUAAUGGUUUCGACAUAUAUAGAGUGUAUAGUGUUGCAGUAGUGUGAAAGACUAUAAAUUUCACUAGAAACUCUUAAACGGAAACAAAAAAGAAGAAUCAGUUCAAACUGAUAAUAGUGCAUUUUUCUAUGCACAAUCAACAAAUCUUGCUUUUGCUUAAUUAAAGCAACAAGUUUCUUAUAUAUAACUCCUUUAAUAUAUAAGAAGGCGACAAAGGAUAGUUACUAAAGUAGCGAACUAGUAAUUAAAUUAGCUAAAAUAUUAUUAACUUUUUGGUCAUUUUUUAUUAAUAAUAUUAUUAAAAUGACAUAAACUGUAGAUGCAUUAUAUGUUUUAUGUGUGGACACGGGUUCGACUCCCGUUAUCUCCGCCA